This 253-nucleotide ribosomal RNA is filed under the name uncultured bacterium. Its description in RNAcentral is "partial 16S ribosomal RNA". It matches the Rfam family "Bacterial small subunit ribosomal RNA", at positions 524 to 776 of the family's 1533-position model. The record is from RNAcentral.
UACGUAGGGGGCAAGCGUUGUCCGGAAUUAUUGGGCGUAAAGAGCACGUAGGCGGUCCGAUAAGUCGGCUGUGAAAGUCCAGGGCUCAACCCUGGAAAGCCGGCCGAUACUGUCGGACUAGAGUCCGGAAGAGGCAAGUGGAAUUCCCGGUGUAGCGGUGAAAUGCGCAGAUAUCGGGAGGAACACCAAUGGCGAAGGCAGCUUGCUGGGACGGUACUGACGCUGAGGCGCGAAAGCGUGGGGAGCAAACAGG